AUUGAACGCUGGCGGCAUGCCUUACACAUGCAAGUCGAACGGCAGCAUGGAGAGCUUGCUCUCUGAUGGCGAGUGGCGAACGGGUGAGUAAUGCAUCGGAACGUACCGUGUAAUGGGGGAUAACGUAGCGAAAGUUACGCUAAUACCGCAUACGACCUGAGGGUGAAAGCAGGGGAUCGCAAGACCUUGCGUUAUACGAGCGGCCGAUGUCAGAUUAGCUAGUUGGUGAGGUAAAGGCUCACCAAGGCGACGAUCUGUAGCGGGUCUGAGAGGAUGAUCCGCCACACUGGGACUGAGACACGGCCCAGACUCCUACGGGAGGCAGCAGUGGGGAAUUUUGGACAAUGGGGGCAACCCUGAUCCAGCCAUGCCGCGUGAGUGAGGAAGGCCUUCGGGUUGUAAAGCUCUUUCGGCCGGGAAGAAAUCGCACAGGCUAAUACUCUGUGUGGAUGACGUUACCAACAGAAUAAGCACCGGCUAACUCUGUGCCAGCCGCCGCAGUAA
This 504-nucleotide ribosomal RNA is filed under the name uncultured bacterium. RNAcentral's name for it is "partial 16S ribosomal RNA". It matches the Rfam family "Bacterial small subunit ribosomal RNA", at positions 30 to 523 of the family's 1533-position model. The record is from RNAcentral.